Molecule: long non-coding RNA, 3332 nt
Filed under: Homo sapiens (human)
Lineage: Eukaryota; Metazoa; Chordata; Mammalia; Primates; Hominidae
Description: HSALNT0305816
Source: RNAcentral
AUUCUCCUGCCUCAACCUCCUGAGUAGCUGGGACUACAGGCGCCCGCCACGACGCCCGGCUAAUUUUUUGUAUUUUUAGUAGAGACGGGGUUUCACCAUGCUAGCCAGAAUGGUCUCAAUUUCCUGACCUCGUGAUCCACCCGCCUCGGCCUCCCAAAGUGCUGGGAUUACAGGCGUGAGCCACCGCACCCGGCCUAAAGUUAUAUUCUUUUACAGUAUCUUCUAACAGUUUUAGAAUUUUUUUUUUGACAUUUAAGUUUUCAUUCUACCUAGAGCUUUUUUUUGUAAGAGAGAGGUUUCCAACUUUACCUUUUCCAUCUGGAUGCCCAAUUAUCCCAGAGCUAUUUAUUGAGACAUUCAGUCUUCAUUGAUGUGCCCUGUCUUUACUUAUAUGUAUGGAUCUGUUUCUCAACACUCUAUUCUGCUCCAUUGGCCUGUUUAUCCUUGGGCUAACACAACACUGUCUUAAUAGCAGCAGCUUUAUAAUCAUUGUUAGCUGAUAAAGUAUGUCCUCUCAUCUUGUGCAAUAGGAUUGCCCUUUCCUACACCUUUGCAAAUUCUAUGCAUUGUCCUGUGUUCAAAAACAAAAAAUAAAGCUGUUGAGAUUUUUAUUGGAUUGACCAUGUGAACUAAUCUGGAGAACAUUGACAUAUUUCCAUUACUUUUUUUUUCUUUUUUUUCCUUAAGGUCAGGAAAGCAUCACAUAUUUCUAUUACUGAGUCUUCUAAACGAUGAAAUUAUCUGUCUCCAUUUAUUUAGAUCUCCUUUAAUAUAUCUAUAAUUUUUAAGAGGUUUUACACGUUGUUAGAUUAAUUUCCAGCUACUUGUACUUUGAGAUGCUAUUAUAAAUGACUUUUUUAAAAAGAUGGGGUCUCACUAUUGUUGCCUAGGCUGGUGUCAAACUCCUGGGCUCAAGUGAUUCGCCUGUGUUAGUCUCCCAAAGUGCUGGCAUUACACGCCUGAGCCACCGCACCAACUGUUUUUUUUUUUUUUUGAGAUGGAGUCUAGCUCUGUCGCCCUGGCUGGAGUUCAGUGGCAUGAUCUCAGCUCACUUUUUUUCAUUUUCUAAUUGUUUGAUGGUAGUUUUUAUGAAUGUAGUCAAUUUUUUAUAUUGACCUUAUACCCAGCAACCUUGCUAAAUAAAUUUAUUAAUUCUAAUAGUUUGUAGAUUAUUUUCAGUUUUUCAGGUAUAAAACUGUCCAGAAAUACAGUUUUAUUUCUUUCAAUUGUGUAUACCUUUUAUUUAUGUUUCUUCCCUUAUUCUAUUGCCUAGAACUUCCAGCAGUGCUGACUAGAAGUGCGCCCCGUUCUUGACCUCAAAGGAGAACUUUCAACAUUUUGCAUCGUGUUUAUUCUAGAGUUUUGUAGAUCUCCUCUGUCAAAAUUAGGAAGUUCCAUUGUAUUUCUAAAUUUGCUGAGAACUUUUAUUAAAAAUGGAUGUUAGGUGUGGACGCAGGUGGCUCACACCUGUAAUCCUGGCACUUUGGGAGGCUGAGGCAGGAGAAUCAGUUGAAGCCAGGAGUUCAAGACCAGCCUGGGCAACAAAGCAUAAAGGCAACACAAGUGGUCAGGCUCAGCUACUCUGGUUCCUACAGACUUUCCCCUUUGGGAUAGCGUCUCUCACCAUCUUGACUGCUUACCAACAGAAGCGCCAAAACCAAACUUGAGGAUGUCCACAAGCUUGCUCUACACUUCUACAUUCAUCCUCAUCUUUUUUGUGUGUGUUUGUGGGGUAGGGGAGGUGCAGUGUUUACUCAGUGAUCUUUCUACUUUCUAGAAAGUGUCUGUCCUUCAAAACUAUUUAAGAGCCUCUCAUUAGUCAUUUUUUCUCUUAUAUGCUCUGGUUGAGCUUGAAUAGACCAGUUGUUGCUUAAGAAAGAAACUGAAAAGAUUUUAGCUUUUCAGUCCUAUUUGGCAGAGGACUUCAGCUACCUUCUUAUGGUCUUUGGCUGUGUUGGUGCCCUCAUGUGCUCUGGGCUAAGCCACAUACUAAAUUGACUUUUUGGUUUGUAUACCCUUGCUCUCGCCUUCUGAUGAAAACACCUUACCCUCACCACCACCAUCUUUGCUCUCCUUUCCCAAAACUCUUUCCGCCUUGCUGCACUAAGAUAGUGACACCUCCACCACACGUCAAUUCCACACACAUUUAUUAGGUACCUGUGAAGCAGGAUCUUAUCCUCUUAAACUUCCACUUCUCACACUAGAGAGAAAGAUAAGGAAGAUGAGCAAGUGCCUGGAAUGGGGCAGGCUGAGUGGUCACACAGGCACAGAGGCACACUGAGAACCUACAGGGGAGACUGCAGAGUGCCUUCCCUGAUGCUGCAGCUGGAAGUCAUCCUUCCCUCCACCUGGCCCCUGAGACACUCUACUCUGUAGUGUGCAGUCUGAUGGCACUGCUAGAUUUCUUUUUCAGCUCAGGGCCACAGCUUAAACAGCUUUACCUUUCCCCUCAGCACCUGUCCCACUACCUUGCACACAGGUACUCUAUCCGUGUUUAUUGAACAAAGGAGGGAAACUGAUUUCACUUUCACUUGUUCAUUAUCAUUCCAAUUUUUAUGUGAAAAUGGCACAACCCAUUUGGGGUACACUCAUCUCAAAAGAAAAGCCCAAGACUACCUCUGACUGGUACCACCUUUUUUGUGGGUUCCUUGGUGAGAAACCUUUAUCUUUUUCAUACUUUUCUAUUCUCCAUCACUUCUCCAAAAGUGUCUCUUUCCAGCUCUGAUUUAUUCAAAACACACAAACAUUCCUGUUUAGAGAUUCUAGCCCAUGGAUUAUCCGGCUAGUUAGUACCUCUCCUGUUCACUUGGUUAUACUUUAUUAUUGCUCAGAGGUUGGGGAGGCAGAAUGACUGUGUCCCCUCACCCUGGCAGAAUGACUGUGUCACCACUAGGAGCCAUUAGGGCUUCUUCCCAGGAGGACUGCCUGCUUGCUUUCUGGGGACUAGCCCUUAUUUCCCUUCUGUGGUCCAGUGGGGCAAGUGAUUUGUAUUAGACAAAUAUUUAUAAGAAACAACCCCCUCCCCAAAAUAGAGCCACCAAGUAAAGCACAAGCCUGAAAGAUGAUGAACUAUGAAUUGUCUCUAGUGGAUAUAAAUUUCUGCAAAUAUAUCUCAGUCUUUCUCUCUUUUCUCUGGUGAUUAAAAAGUUGGUUUUUGGUAAGGAAAAGGAUUUUUGACCAUAGAGUUAUGCAUCAUGGAAAUUCAAACCCGAUUUCUUAAUACCUGGUCUUCUCCGAAGAGAAAUAAUGAUAGUAAUAGUGGUGCUGGGAACAAUAUGGAAGAUUAUUGAAUGAAAUGGAUUAACUUGAAUAAAAUGCUGUGAAUUAUCUCU